AGAGUUUGAUCCUGGCUCAGGAUGAACGCUAGCGGGAGGCCUAACACAUGCAAGCCGAGCGGUAUUGUUUCUUCGGAAACGAGAGAGCGGCGCACGGGUGCGGAACACGUGUGCAACCUGCCUUUAUCUGGGGGAUAGCCUUUCGAAAGGAAGAUUAAUACCCCAUAAUAUUUUGAAUGGCAUCAUUUAAAAUUGAAAACUCCGGUGGAUAGAGAUGGGCACGCGCAAGAUUAGAUAGUUGGUAGGGUAACGGCCUACCAAGUCAGUGAUCUUUAGGGGGCCUGAGAGGGUGAUCCCCCACACUGGUACUGAGACACGGACCAGACUCCUACGGGAGGCAGCAGUGAGGAAUAUUGGACAAUGGGUGAGAGCCUGAUCCAGCCAUCCCGCGUGAAGGACGACGGCCCUAUGGGUUGUAAACUUCUUUUGUACAGGGAUAAACCUAUUUACGUGUAAAUAGCUGAAGGUACUGUACGAAUAAGCACCGGCUAACUCCGUGCCAGCAGCCGCGGUAAUACGGAGGGUGCAAGCGUUAUCCGGAUUUAUUGGGUUUAAAGGGUCCGUAGGCGGAUCCGUAAGUCAGUGGUGAAAUCUCAUAGCUUAACUAUGAAACUGCCAUUGAUACUGCGGGUCUUGAGUAAGGUAGAAGUAGCUGGAAUAAGUAGUGUAGCGGUGAAAUGCAUAGAUAUUACUUAGAACACCAAUUGCGAAGGCAGGUUACUAUGUCUUAACUGACGCUGAUGGACGAAAGCGUGGGGAGCGAACAGGAUUAGAUACCCUGGUAGUCCACGCCGUAAAACGAUGCUAACUCGUUUUUGGGCUUUCGGGUUCAGAGACUAAGCGAA
Molecule: ribosomal RNA, 845 nt
Filed under: uncultured Bacteroidota bacterium
Lineage: Bacteria; Pseudomonadati; Bacteroidota
Description: bacterial SSU rRNA
Rfam family: Bacterial small subunit ribosomal RNA
Source: RNAcentral